Molecule: small RNA, 3388 nt
Filed under: Pan troglodytes (chimpanzee)
Lineage: Eukaryota; Metazoa; Chordata; Mammalia; Primates; Hominidae
Description: retained intron
Source: RNAcentral
CUCUUUUAUGGAGUAAACACUACGGGGGAAAACCCGUCCACCAAAACUAUUGUAUUGAUAUUUCUCCCUCUCUCUGCUUAAAAUAAUUGUUUUGUUUUGUUUUGUUGUUUGUUGCUUUUUGAGACAGCGUCUCACUGUGUCACCCAAUCUGGAGCGCAGCAAUCUUGGCUCACUGCAACCUCUGCCUCCUGGGCUCGAGCAGUCCUCCCACCUCAGCCUCCCGAGUAGCUGGGGCUACAGCCGCUCGCCACCAUGCUCAGUUUAAUAUUAUAAGGUUUUGUAGAGACGAGGUCUCACUAUAUUGCCCAGGCUGAUCUCUCAACUCCUGGGCUCAAGCGAUCCUGCUACCUCAUCCUCCCAAAGUGCUGGGAUUUACAGGCAUGAGCCACCACACCAGACUCUAAAAUGAUUUUAUACAAGUGGACUUCAUCUCUUCCCUUUUUAUUUUUAAAAAUUACAAGCAUACAGAAAAUUUGCCCCAUUUUCUUUAUCUCUCUCUCUCUAGUUCUUUUUUAUUUGUUUGUUGUGUACUGUUUGUUCAUCUGUAUCAUUUGAGAGGAAGUUGCAAUCAUGACAUUUUGCCCCUAAAAUACUUCAGCCUAUAUCUCUUUACAAGGACAUUCUCCUUUACGAUUGUGAUACAAUCAUACUUGGGAUUUAACAUUAAAACAGUAUUAAUGUUAAUAUACAGACCACAUUCAGAUUUCCCCAGUGUCUCAAUUCUGUCAUUUCAGGAUAGCAAUUAAAAAAAAAAUCCGGGGUCCAAUCAAGGAUCCUGCAUUUUAUUUACUUGUCUUGUGAAUAUCUUAUUCCCCAGCAGCAUUUUACUCAGGUUUUAGAAUCCAUUGAAGACUCCUUAUAAAGAGCAUAAUUGGCUAGAUAAGUUGUAUUCUUUCCAUGUUAUGCUCGUGAAAUAUUAGUGAGAUAAUUUUAACAACAGAUACAGUGUCAUUUAUCUUACUAGAUAUAGGACUGAGGAAGGGAAAGGAGUCUAUGGUAGCUCAUAGGGAACAUAGUGACAUGAAAAUCUAGGUCAACAGACUAGCUUUAGCUUUUAUGAGGCAUCUGGGCCUCUAAUAUUAGGUACUUUUUGUGUGGCACUAAAAUGGCCUCCAGAAAUUAUUUACAAUUUUUCUCUAGUUCUAACAGUUUUAACUUUUUCUUAACUUCUAGGAGGAUCAGCUGAUUUAUUCGGAGGAUUUGCUGACUUUGGCUCAGCUGCUGCAUCAGGCAGUUUCCCUUCCCAAGUAACAGCAACAAGUGGGAAUGGAGACUUUGGUGACUGGAGUGCCUUCAACCAAGCCCCAUCAGGCCCUGUUGCUUCCAGUGGCGAGUUCUUUGGCAGUGCCUCACAGCCAGCGGUAGAACUUGUUAGUGGCUCACAAUCAGCUCUAGGCCCACCUCCUGCUGCCUCAAAUUCGUCAGACCUGUUUGAUCUUAUGGGCUCGUCCCAGGCAACCAUGACAUCUUCCCAGAGUAUGAAUUUCUCUAUGAUGAGCACUAAUACUGUGGGACUUGGUUUGCCUAUGUCAAGAUCACAGAAUACAGAUAUGGUCCAGAAAUCAGUCAGCAAAACCUUGCCCUCUACUUGGUCUGACCCCAGUGUAAACAUCAGCCUAGACAACUUACUACCUGGUAUGCAGCCUUCCAAACCCCAGCAGCCAUCACUGAAUACAAUGAUUCAGCAACAGAAUAUGCAGCAGCCUAUGAAUGUGAUGACUCAAAGUUUUGGAGCUGUGAACCUCAGUUCUCCAUCGAACAUGCUUCCUGUCCGGCCCCAAACUAAUGCUUUGAUAGGGGGACCCAUGCCUAUGAGCAUGCCCAAUGUGAUGACUGGCACCAUGGGAAUGGCCCCUCUUGGAAAUACUCCGAUGAUGAACCAGAGCAUGAUGGGCAUGAACAUGAACAUAGGGAUGUCCGCUGCUGGGAUGGGCUUGACAGGCACAAUGGGAAUGGGCAUGCCCAACAUAGCCAUGACUUCUGGAACUGUGCAACCCAAGCAAGAUGCCUUUGCAAAUUUCGCCAAUUUCAGCAAAUAAGAGAUUGUAAAAGAAGCAGAUUGAAUGAAGAAUUUUUAGCUGUGCAGAUAGGUGAUGUUGGGAUGGAAAAUGCUAAUCAACUACCCUUUCUUUUAUCAAGUGAUUAAAAUAAAUCUACAUAAAGAACCAAAAAGGCUGUUUUAUAAAAGUGAAAUAUCCAGUAUUUCAGAGGGCCAGGCAAGAGCACUUCAGAUGAGGCAGUCAGAAUCUUUUUUCCAGUGAGGAUAGACCACAAGUGGGUGGUGAGACCAUUGAAAGCCUUUAUCAACUGAAGAGCCCAUUUAACAGCAUAAUUUGUGGGAAGACUGGAAUAGGGCUGAAUAAAUGUGUUUGAAUCUCUAAUUUUAUACUUUCUUUUCCUGAGGAACUUGAUUUUUCUGUCCCUGGAUCGCCUUGUCAUAAUUGGGUCUGUUCCUUUUACUACCACUCUUGAGUCCAUAUAUGAAAUCAUUAAAGUUGGAUGAUCAGUUUUUUAUAAAAAUAUAUAUUUUUGUCCAAGAAAAAAAAAAGCAUACAUAUGUGAUUAUGGCUAAAUCAAAGGUAACUGGAAUGUAUAUACUUUUGCUAAUGUUCCAGCAACACUGCUAUUAUACUAUCCAAAUUUUUAUUGUAACAAAACCUCUUUAAGCAAUUGGUGAUUGCUAUGGGACUUUUCCCAUGUCUUCUGCUGUAAUUAUCCUGUGCAGAACUAGGAAGAAAUUUUUUUCAGGACUGCUCUAUGGUUUCCUUUAAAAGAAAAAAAACUUCUGUUUGUUUUUAGCAGUCAUUAUUUACAAUUUGCAGUGAUUAACUUGGCAAGGCUUCCUUCCGUGUUUAUCCCUGUAGCCAUCAUUUAAGUCAGGAACAGUCAGAAAAAUAUUUAUUGUAUUUUUUUUUUGGGUGUCUGCAAAGGUAAAAAUCCAUUAAAACCUUAAGUUAAAUAUAAAUGUUACAACUCAAUGUUUGCUUUUAGAUUUUAUACAGUAUUUGUUUUGUUUUGGUUUUGAGUGUAUAUAAUGCAGCAUUAGCAAUAUGGUUCCAAUAGAGGAGUUAAAUAUAUAUUAUUAAAGGAGACCUGUAGCAGUCAAAGAUUUUAUUGAUUUAAUGACAAAGGAAAUUAAUGAAAAUGUUUUUGUUUUUCUGCUGUAAUUCUGCAUUAAGCUCACAUGAAAAUCAUGAUUCUAGAGUUUGGAAUGCAAAAUUAAUUGUUUUACCCUCAAGCUGGGAAUAUUUUUCAAAAUAAAUACUAUAAUAUAGAUAUCAAAUUAUUACCUCCCCAUGUUAUGUUGAAAAUUUUUUUAUUGAUAAAACUUUAUUUCCAUUAUAUUCAUAAUGUUCUGUUAUACAUAACAUUAAAAUGUUCAUUAAAA